ACAAGCGACUCGUGGGCGUCAAUACUGGGCUGAGUUUGUGGCGCGCUUAGUGAUGGGAUGGCCCUGUGCAGGACGCCGACACGAAAAGAUGAAGAGUUCAAUCCGUGCUGUCUGAACUCACAGUGUAGCAGGCGAGAUAGACGGGAAGAUCGGUAGGGUGGGAGAUGCCGGAAAGGCUUCCCGUGAGACUGGAUAAGAAAUCAAAAAUCUGGUGAAAUUGCCGGCAAGAGGGAGUUAAGGACAUUCCAGGCAGAGGCAAGUUGGUCCUUGCUGGCUGAUCCAGCUUCCCCGUCAGCAUAUGGUGAGCAGUUCGGUGAGAGGACCACACUUCCAAUACUGGCAGAUGAAGCCAGAUACUCCUCUAUGAAGUUAAAUGACUGGUUCAGUGUUAACACUGCUAGUGAGCGACAGAGAUGGAAUUUGAACGCACACCUGUCUGACUCCACCUCGUGUUCCUUCCACAUGGCCAGCAAGCUCUGCUGUCCCACCUCGCACUUCUGGGAGGUGGCUACUCCCUCUUUCCACCCCCUUUUCUGGAUCUUGACAAGGGAUUCUACCCUGCCCCAGCUGUCAAAGCCUGCAGCAGCUGCCAAAAAACCUCAACACAGGCAUACUUUGGACCUACAUCAUGUGUUGAUGUCACAGAUGCUGUACCAGGCAUUUGACUCCUUGAUCUAAAGCCAGGAUUCCUAGCCAACAUGGCGAAACCCUGUCUCUACUAAAAAUAACAAAAAUUAGCUGGGCAUGGUGAUAGGCACCUGUAAUCCCAGCUACUUGGGAGGCUGAGGCAGGAGAAUUACUUGAACCCAGGAAGCGAAGGCUGCAGUGAGCAGAGAUUGUGCCUCUGCACUACAGCCUGGGCUAUGGAGUAAGACUCUGUCUCAAAAAAAAAAAAAAAAAAAAAAUAGUGAGGGGGAUGCAUGCCCACACAAAGGAAUCCUGAUAGAGGAACAAUGGCUUGGUCCGUUUCCCCUCCUGUGUAGCACUGUGAUAAAGGAAAGCCUUUCAGGUAUGUGCCUCGAUGGAGCCAGUGGGUGGAAGAGGAAGGGCAAUGAGAGGUUUGAGGACAAGCUGCUGAUACCCUCAUGUGUCAUCACAGUGGUGCCCUUUGGGAGCCUGCUUUGGUAUACUCGUCCACUCAGGGAAGAGGAAGUCUCUUAUCCACAGUUUUGUCUUCAAAAUUGAAAUUUCUUUGGGCAGAGCCUAAAAGAGAGUUGCCUCAUUUCGUGUAACUGUAGCAUAUGUAGUGUAGAGGCUCCAAUGUGUUUUUGAGGCAAUCUGAGAGCUCUUUCUGGAAAUCCCUGGCAGAUGACAUCUGCGUCUGAUUUUACUUUGUCUUACAACCAGGCUAAGACCUCCAGCAUCAUCAGACUGUCGAACUGCUCAGGUCAAGGCAGACAGGUAGAAAGGCCCACAUAGAUAGUGGUUACUCAUCCCAAGAACACAGAGGCCCACACCAGGAAGGGGCAGGUGAUGUUAAUGAUGAGGCAGGCAAUUAUAUCUUGCGAUUUCUAUGAGCCAUGAUGCAUUACAGUAAGGAACUUUACCUCACUUGGCUUGUGACUUCUGUUAGUGAAAAGUGGCCUGCUGGCCUAUGCUGUGGAGGACUUGCAGAAAACUUCCCAGUCACCGGCAGACGGUUGACAUCUCCCCUGGUUCCUCCCCAACCCGUUUAGUGUGAAACGGGACAAAGGGAAACAUUUCCUUUGAUCUAUUUUUGGGGAAAGAGGCAAAUGUCAACUAAAUAAGAUCAUAUUAGGGACUGGGCAUGGUGGCUUAUGCCUGUAAUCCCAGCACUUUGGGAGGCCAAGGUGGGCGGAUCACCUGAGGUCAGGAGUUAGAGACCAGCCUAGCCAACAUGGCGAAACCCUGUCUCUACUAAAAAUACAAAAAAUAUUAGCCAGGUGUGGUAGCACGCGCCUGUAAUCCCAGCCACUCGGGAGGCUGAGGCACGAGAAUCACUUGAACCCAGGAGGCGGAGGUUGCAGUGAGGCGAGAUCACACCACUGCACUCCAGCAGCCUGGGUGAUAGAGACUUGACUCAAAAAAAAAAAAAUCCUAUUAGGAAUUUCAUGAAAGCUCACACAGUUCUUGCACACAUCAUUCAAGGCCUGUUAUGGGGGCCCAGAACAUCAGGACACAGUAGCUAGCCUCACAUUCAGCUCCAUUGCACUAGAGCUUUGCAUGAUCUCAAUUUGAAAAACACACAUGUAUAUCCUACAUUUGUAUCUCUAUUCUAAUAUUAUAUACUGUAUAUGACUUUUUAAAAUAUUGGUUUGCUGUUUCUAUUUUGUGCUAAUGCAACAAAUCUAAUUUGUUUUAGAAACAGUUAUUACUGUUUCUUGCUUCUUAUCACCCCCUACCGUUUGGACUCUGUUGUCCAUCUUUCUCUGCCUAAUUGGACCACAGCCUGGUGCCUCAAUCCCCACAAAAUCUGUUCCCUUCUAGCUCAAGAUGACUGCAUUCUCUCUCAGUUCGCAGUGUACUCAUGGGCUGCUCAUUCAUCUGCCCUUGUGCUCUGUGCCUUUUUGGCAUCUGCGGGUAAACUCAGUGCCACAUAUCUCUAUUCUGUUCACUCCUAAUGUUUGUAUUGUCUUCCCAAGGGACCUCUCUUAUGGCCCUGCUGGGCUCCUCCCCUUACCCACAUGUGCCAAGCAUAGAAAUCAAGGCAACAUUCUCAGUCCCUUUAAGGGAAGUUCCAGGUACCUAGCUAGUCCUACAGCCAGCAAUUAGGGAAGUUAACGAAUAACCUGCUAAACAAGAAGAUAAUAAUUUAAAAGCCACUCAAGUAAGUCAGAGUCACAAAAUGUUUGAUUCCCUGUAGAAACUAAAGAUAGCAUCUUGACCUAUUCCCUUGCAUUGCUUUUCAGAAAACAAUUCCCACACCAGAUGGAAAAUGCUGACCACUGUCAUAGAACUCAGACAGACUGAAACCAAAAAAUAGAUAUGGAAGUUCCAGAAAUUCCCUAGCUCUUAACUCAUUUUGGAUACCCCCUCACUCCUGCUUUAAAAACCCUUGCUUAUAAGCCAGCAGGGAGCUCAGGUGUUAAGUGCUAGGUACCCAUUCUUCUUGCUUGGCACCCAGCAAUAAACGCCUUUUUCUCACUACAAAUCUCAGCGUCAAUGUUUGGCUUUUUUGGCAUGCUGGGCAACCAGAACCAACCCCAUCUUUGUGUGCCUGCAUCCAAUUCUGAUGAGCCUAUGUAUGUCAGGUUGGUCAAGGCCCUUUGUGCUGAACACCAAAUCAACCUAAUUAAGGUUGAUGACAAGAAACUAGGGGAAUGAGUAGGCGACCUCUGUAAAAUUGACAGAGAGGGGAAACCCUGUAAAGUGGUUGGUUGCAGUUGUGUAGUAGUUAAGGACUAUGGCAAGGAGUCUCAGCCCAAGGAUGUCAUCAAAGAGUACUUCAAAUGCAAGAAAUGAACAAACCUUUGUCUCACAAAAAAAAAGCCCACAAACUUUUGAAUGAAAUCUACUUAUAUGAUGUGACACACAUUUCUUUCAGACAUGGAUUUUGAAAUCCUAUCAAUAAAAGCCACCAAGUGAGACACUCAGUUCUGGUUUUGAGCAUGUACCUGCUCCGUUUCCUGGUAUCUGCAAAUUAGGGUGGCCCAGUGCAGGCUCCUGACCGUUUGACCAUGACAGGCUGUCUGAACCCUGGGAGCUCAUCGUGCCCAUCGUCAGAGAUGUCCGUAUGUGACACAGCAGAGACUACCCCACAGAUAACAGACGAAAGCCAGCAGAGUACAAGGCCUAAAUGUGCAUGUCCUUCUGUUUCCUUUUUUUUUUUUUUAGGGGUUCUGACUGAGCAGGCAGAUUGGAAAGGAAGAAUCAGAUGAGGAGCAAGUGCUAGGUGUUGGGGAAACAAUUUAAAUUUCCUCCCACCCCAGAAAUUCCUCUCCAUAAAAUAUAGGAAAAAGAAAAUAUUUUAUUAUUGAAUAAACAUUAAACUAGUGAUGCACAUCUUUAGCAUUCUGCUAAGGAGAUUGCAAAGACAGACAUCCCACCCUUUUAUGUGGGCAAGCAAAUAGGACCCAUUCAUUACAUACAUGUUCUCGAACUAAAGUAAGAGGACUUGACAGCACCAUUUGUCAAGCAUAAUUCAUCCUAAAUUCACCUGGUGACCAUUUGUGUUCGCUAAUUGCCUUUAUCAAAAGGAAAAAUAAAACUCAAGUUUCUAGGACAGCAGGUAGUUUUACAACUUGGAGCCAGGUGCUUAAAUGAAACUACUACCCACUGCCCUCCCACUGACAGUGGGAGGUAGGGAGCUAUCUUCCUUGAUGUCUGUAUUUUCAAAGAGAUGGUUUCCAGGCCCUUGCAGGAAAAGAGUCCUAGGUUGUAAAAUCGACUGGAGCCUUACUUAGCUUUUAAAAAGAUUUAUAUACAUUUCAAAGGGGCAGCAAAAUAUAAGUUUUCUAAAGGAAAUGCUCUAAGAAAAAGGAGGAAGCUCUUCCCCUUUUUGCAUGGGCUUGUGGGGUAACUUACAUUCUGGAAUUCACGAGGAGCAGGAAUUGGUUUCCUCCCUCCACGUGCUGGAAGGCACAGUGUAAGAAGCUUGGCAAGGCUCCAGUCGGGUGGACAAUCACUGGGAAUUCCACGCAUCAAAGGGACAAGGGACAAUCACUGGGUCCAUCCUUUACUUCAGAGGGACAAGACCCAAUGAAUGUAGAACUGGGCCACAGUUUGUCUUGGUUCUUAAGCACGCUGGCCCACACAUGAUAGGUUAUCAUUAAAUGUCUGAUGAGUAAGUGAAUGAAUGUCAGGAACCUGAGAGGCUUUAGAGGUCAUUUACCUCAGCUGAAAUUCAGGCAUCCCUUUCCCUCAGCCCUCCUUAAAUACCAGCAGUCCUGGGGAUCCCACCACUUGCCACAGCAACCCAUUUUACUGUUGGAUAACUGUAAUUAUUAUAACAUUUUUAAUAUCUGAAUAAGGAGAGAAAACAAAAUUCGAGUGCUUUCAAGGGCAGGGUACUUUUUUCAAAACAAUCCCAAGAAGUAGGUAUCCCAUGUCACAGAGGAGGGAACUCAAAAACAGAGACAUUAACUAACAGCCCAAGGUCACACAGCUAAAGGGAAAUCAUAUGUAUCGAGUGUCUGUUCUGCACCAGGCACUCAUUUAAAUAAAGAUCCUUUCACUCACAAUAGUUUACCAUACAAAUAUUACAGCAUGUCUAGAUGGGGUCUUAACCAUACCAAAGUACUGUAUUGCAUGCCUCCAUCUGCCCUGGGACUAGGACCAGGUCACACACUGCAAAGGAUUUGAGUGGAAACGAUGAAUAGACCCCUGCACACCCAUGUGCAUCAAUGGAGGACUGUGGAUGCCGUGUGCCCCCAUUCCUCUGGGCCAUUGUCAUUAACCCUUUGUCUCCCAAGGAAUGGAGCUGCCAGAGAGUUCCAGCUGCCUCAGAUCCUCCCUGGUCUCUCAGUCCAGAUUCCUAAGAUGAGGACACAGCAUCCUGGGCCACUGUCACUAAUACAAAUUUGCCUCUGGAGGGACUCUACGGAAGAUAAUUCCCCUGAAAUUUGGAGAGUUGAAUUAAGCUAGGACUGAUUCUGGCUGGAAUUUGUGGUGGCUACGUACCCUAGAGGGCCUCAAGGAAACCCACGGUUCAAGACAGCCCUGACAGAUUCUGGAGUCUAGAACAGAAAUGGAUUUGAACAUGGGCAAGGCCAACCACCCAGUUCACGGCCUGUGUACAGCAAAGAUUACGUUACAGCCUGAGAGCUAAGCCUGGAAGCUCUUUCAUCCAUCCGUUUGUCCAUCUAUCCAUCCAUCUGCUCAUCCAUCCCUCCAUCUGCUCAACAAACGUUAGAGAAUCAAUCCUUGUGUCAGAUACUGGGGCUGCCCUCAAGGAGCUUUUAUAGAGUUCAGGGUACAGCCAGGUGGGGGAGACAGAUCACUAUAAAAACCUACCACUAUAAUCCAAAGGACAAGAGCAAAAAUAGUAAAGAGGAGAGAAGACCCAAAUUUGCCUGGUGGGUCAGAGAGGGCUUUCUAGAAGAGGUAAAAAAUCUUCGGGGCUAUCACUUCACCUUGCCUGGUGGAUAAAGGGAGGACUUUCCAGAUACAGUGGACAGAAUGUGCAGAGGCAGGAGCCAUGAGUGGCAGAGGCAGGGGAGGGACUGCAGAGACAGGUUGGAGCCAAAGCACGUGGCACUGGAGCCAUAGCCAAAGGAACAAACUGUGAGACCUGGGACUUGAAUUUGGAGGUGGUGAAAAGUGACAAGGUCUUCACAGAAGAGUGAUUUUUUCAACUUAGGGAAGGCUGACCCCAGACCAAUGCUGCCAAAGUGUGGUCUGUGGGCUGUUAGCAGUUCGUGACGAUGUAAGUACAGGAAUUGAGAUUAAGCAUUUAGAACACCUACAGCACUUUGAUAGUCAUUUUACUUUUUAAAUUUUGAGCUGGCAUUUUAUAUGCCUGGUUUUUUUUUGUUUUUGUUUUUUUAUUUUUUUUGAGACAGUCUCGCUCUGUCGCCCAGGCUGGAGUGCAGUGGCGCGAUCUCUGCUCACUGCAAGCUCCGCCUCCCGGGUUCACGCCAUUCUCCUGCCUCAUCCUCCCAAGUAGCUGGGACUGCAGGCGCCUGCCGCCUCGCCCAGCUAAUUUUUUGUAUUUUUAAUAGAGACGGGGUUUCACCAUGUUAGCCAGGAUGGUCUCAAUCUCCUGAUCUCGUGAUCUGCCCGCCUUGGCCUCCCAAAAUGCUGGGAUUACAGGUGUGAGCCACCACGCCCAGCCUUAUUCUCUUUUUCUAAUAGUUGCACUUUAUCAUAUUUUACAAAUGUGUGAGUCUGCUAUGGAUUAGAAAUUAAUAAGAGAUUUUGCCACAGAUAGUUUGAGAAGCCCAGCACUGCCACUCAACAAAUGCUGGUGCAUUCAGAUGGUGAAAUAUUCUGCAGCUAUUAAAGGAGUUAAAACUGCCUCCACUUACCUGGAGGCCCAUCUGUGACACCUUUUUAGGUUAAAAGGAAAAGAAAAACUUGCUUAGGACUGAAUAUGAGCGGUUGCAAUUUGUAACAAUGAUGUAUAUAUACAUAUACAUUUUCAUGUAUUUGUAUGAACAUAAAAGUAUUGAAGGAUAUUCAUCAAACUGCUAAAAGGGUUGCUUCAGAGUAACGGACUCGGAGAAGGCAGAUUAAUUUUCUCUUAAUGGAACUCUGUAUUGUAUCACUUGUAAAAAUAAGCAUGUGUUAUCUUUAUGAUAAAAAAGUAAAAACCUAAAAAAGAAAAUUUUGAUGUGUGUUAAAAUUUUGGAUUUCUAGGCUCCACCUUUUUUGAAUGAGUCUCUCCAAGAGUGGGGCCCUCACAUGUAUAAUGAGAAAAAGCUCCCCGAUUACAGGAUGUUACCAAGCCCCGCUAGGUGUAGGAACCCUGCUUGGUACCCACCCGAGCCUCAGCAGCUCCUCCCCAUCAUGGGCAUGAUGAGGUCUCCCUGUGAGGUGUUGUGAAGACGACGGGACAGGCUGCAGUAGGCACUGAAUAAAUGAGUCCCUUCCCCUGAUGACCCUAAGGCUAUGGGAUCAUCAUCACUCCCUCCCCAAAGCCACACCUGAUUAUUCCAGCCAGCACUCGGCCUGCCCCUUUUCUGAAUGCUUUUUGAUUUUAACUUACAUUUUUCGCAUUUAAAUGUUUCAUUUAAUUUGAGAAAGAGUCUCGCUCUGUCACCCAGGCUGGAGUGCAGUGGUGCGAUCUCAGCUCACUGCAGUCUCCACCUCCUGGGUUCAAGCAAUUCUCCUGCCUCAGCCUCCCAAGUAGCUGGGAUUACAGGCGCCCACCACCACAUGUGGCUAAUUUUGUACUUUUAGUAGAGAUGGGAUUUUGCCAUGUUGGCCGGGCUGGUCUCGAACUCCUGACCUCAAGUGAUCCACCUGCCUCAGCCUCCCAAAGUGCUGGGAUUAGAGGUGUGAACCACCACAGCUGCCUUCUUUUAAUUUGUAUUUUCUAUCUCUGCGGACAAGACUUCAAAGGUGUCUAUCACAUACUUUCAGAUCUACUGAUCAUCCUCUGAAAACCAACAUCGGGGUUCACAAAAUGGAUUUAACCAAUUGGGCUCCCCAGUUCUUCUUCCAGACUCCACCCCUCCAACAGUGUCUCCAAUGACUUCCUGGCAUCACUGAACAGGUCCUUCACUUUGCCACCUCUGAGCCUUUGCUUGAGUGUUUUCUUUCCCCUGGAAUAUCCUUUCCAACCCUAUACACCGACUGAGUCAAACCUUCUGUCUUCUUUUUGAGCAUUUAUGAGCUCCUAUCAUGAGCCAUGCAUUAUGUAAGGGACCUUACAAACACAAUCAGUCUAUGUAACAAUCCUGCCAAGUAUGCUUUAUUUUGGGCAUGGGGAAACAGAGGCUCAAGAGAAGUGACCUGCCCCAGGUUUCAGUGCCAGCACACUAGUAGAGCUGGGAUUUGAACCCAGGUUUGUCUUUUGCACUGGAUUCAGCUUCCUUGCAGACCGCAGCACCUCACAUACAGCCCUUCACUGACCAGCAAUUGGAGGGAAACCACCCCUGUGGCUUAAAACCUGUGGUGCCACAGAUCAUUCCACUCAGUCAAACCCCCAAGACCGUAGAAGUGCAUUUAACACAGCAGCUCCUAGGCACAGGAUUGUCACCUCAGGGCAUAUGACUUCUAAAGUUGCAGAUUAUAAACUUGUUCUCUUUCCCUGUCCUCAG
RNAcentral lists this long non-coding RNA (8663 nucleotides) under Homo sapiens (human). RNAcentral describes it as "non-protein coding CKMT2-AS1:17". Lineage: Eukaryota; Metazoa; Chordata; Mammalia; Primates; Hominidae. The record is from RNAcentral.